Myiozetetes cayanensis is the source of this 3503-nucleotide long non-coding RNA. RefSeq lists it as uncharacterized. Lineage: Eukaryota; Metazoa; Chordata; Aves; Passeriformes; Tyrannidae. The record is from RefSeq and is a predicted model, not a curated record. The transcript has 8 exons.
UUCAGAAAUAGAAAUACAAGAGAAGUUGAAUAGCUUUCCCUGACCUGUUGUGAAAUAUUUCAGAUUUGCUGAACAUCAGCAUAGGACUUUGUCAAGAGCCAGAAUACCACUGAACUAACUCCUGUAUAAACACAGAUUAAGAGGCCAGCCAUUGCCCUGGACCAUUUACAAAGCAUUGUGAAAGAAGAGUUUACAUCAGCAUUUGGAAUAAGGAUAAUGAGGUUAUUUGAUGUUACCAGAGAGCUGCUCCCAGAGAUGGUGGCUGGAACAGAACACAAACAGAACUGAAAAUCAAUGAACAGCUGAAUCUGGAAGCAGCAUUUGUGCAGCUCAUAGCAAUGUGAUACAGAUCUUGCCACCUCACAGCCAGAUGAGAUGGAAGUGGACAUAGCAAGCCACAGUUGAUAUCUAAAUAUCCAUGGGUACUAUGGACCUCGGAACACUAAAACUACAGUCCAGCUUAGCUGGUGGAUAACGAUCUGCUUUUGGCUGUUAUGAACACCCAUGGAAACAAUUUUCUCAGUGCACCUGUUGGGGGGAGAAACAAGGCUUCUUCAACCAUCAAUCUGUGGGACCUCAGAGCUCAGCCUGAAAGCAAAGGUGAAACGAAAUACGAAAAUUGCAGUGCAGCAGAAGAGGAGUCAGCUGUCUGAGGGCCUCUGCUGAAAUCCCAUCUUUCGGUAUUUGAUUCCCAAAGGAGGAUCCCCACCCUCCCUUUGCCCAGGCACAUCUCAGGUUCAGCAGUCCAUGUGCAGAAGUGAGGCGCCAGGUCAAAAUGCUGCUGACAUCAGUAGCUGGAAUAAAGCCUGCAGGACACAUCACACAGGCUGGGAAAGGCCACAAGCAUCAACAGGAACACUCUGGCUGGAGAUAAGUGGUGGUUUCAGUUUUUAUGUUGCUCUGAAGAGCAGGCACAGUGGAGGGAAGGGAGGUUGCUCCUGGCUUUGCUGUUGAACAGUGUGUUGGUUUUCUUGUAACCUGCAUCUGCGUCCAGCACCAUCGAGGUGGGCAAGAGCAGACUGGUGAAGGAGUCUGCACUCACUCCCAGUGGUAGUCCAGAAACUUCCAUGUCCUCCCAUCUGUCCAUCCAUUUCCUCUUUCCAGCCCACCCCUGGGCUUUCAUGGGUCACUGGUAUAAAUGGGGACUAAUCUGCCCCAGUGCAGAUGAAUCUGCAGGGACUUUUCUGUGGUGAAUAUAUUGUUUGGUUUGUUGUGGGUUUGUGGUGGGUUUUUUUUUUCUUUAAAUGGAAUAAGAAUGGAAAACAAGAAAGUCAAAAAGCCCUGAAUCUUUACCUUUUUUUAAGUGGAGACACCACCACAGCAGGACAUAAUGGCUUGCUGUGGUGGUGGUGCUUUGCCUGAGAGCCUGGAGAUUUAUGUAAUGAGAAACACAAUUCCUGCAAAGAACAUUGUUAAAUCUUUUCAAAAUUUCAGCUAUAAGCCAUUUUAUUGCUAAUAAUAUGGCUAGAUUCUUCUUUUGAAGAAUCUGGGAAUGUUUGACAAGUGGGGAAAAUGGAGAGGACUUGAGGCACCAUAAUCUGUAUUUUCCAUUUACCUUGCUUGAAGCUUGAACAACACAUGUGCCACAAAUGAUUUGUUUAUUCCUAAGCGCCCCCAAGGAGCCCAGUCUCCAUUCUCAGGCAUAUAAUGGCUAUUCAAAUGAAAGCUUUAAUAGGUUGUUGCAGAUCUGAUACCAAUGCAGCAAGAGAAAGAGAUAUGCAAAUAUUCGAAAUUAAACAAACUAGCUCCUGCCCUUUGCCUUUGGAGGUGCAGUUUCAAAUCUGGAUGGUGUCACCAAUGCAAUGAAUUUGCUGGACUCAGCUCUCUGGAGAACUAGUUCCUUUUUCACCUUUUUUUUUUCCCCCCACUUUGCCUCACAAAGCUUUCACAUUGUUUGAAAUAUUUUCUGUCUGUAGCACUCACGAGGAAGGAGAGCCCCAACCGGGGCUGAAAUACAUGACGUGUUCAAAUUUGAGACUAAGGAACAUUGCUGGGAGAAGCUCCUGCUGGGCUGGUUCAUUCCACAUCUUCUUAAAUCAAGGCCCUUAACCUCAAUGCCUUCUCCUGGGCAUUUCCCCAUGCUGUAGAAACAAUUUUGGAAGAGUGACACAGACAAAAGUCCAAUUAGGGGUUUCUGUCCACACUGCAAGAAAAAUCAGAGGCUUCACUGGUUCUUAACACAGCCCCUGCUCCUCUUUUGCUCCAUGUAAUGUGUGUGUGAGCCAGGCCCAAAAAUCACUUCAAAAAUGUAAAAAUAACAUGUCAUCCACCUAACCACUGAAACCGUGCCAGCAGCUACCGAGUGCGUUGAACAGCAGGCAAAAAUAAUAAUUUUACAUCAAAAACACCAUAAAAGUUUUCAGUGUCUUCCAGGCUCUUGUAAAACUGCUAUUAUCUUGUCCAACCCCCAAGGCUUUUUGUACAAUUAUCAAUUCUGCUGUGUGGAUUUCAGAAAAGGCAGUGCCUGGAACACGGGUGAAUCGCACGGACGGCAGCGGAAGCGCCGGCUCUGCAGGACAUUCACACACACCUCGGCUCUGCUGCCAGCUCCUGGCUCAGGGGCAGAAUCCCUGGAGCAUCCCUGCAUCUCUGUUGCCCUCCCAUCUUCUAUGCCUGAUCACAAGGGCUUUGGAGCAAAGCUUGUUCCAUCAGUACUGCUGGUGGACCAAACUUUACCAACCAUGACGAGGGGCACUCAGCCUAAAAUAUCUCCAGAUACCUGCAAACAUAUAGAAACCCCCUGAGUUCCAGUGUGAGCAAUGAGAAAUGAAGAACCAAUGCUUUGGCUGGGGCAUGUGGACAAUCUCCUGGCUGUAAUAGACACCCCAAUCUUCAGAAAUUGAGAUUACCAAUUCUGGUCCUAUUUAAGACUGGGAAGAAAAUGCAAAUUUCUGAAAUGUUUGCAAGGUUGGAAAACAGCUUUCCACUAAGCUCUCCUCAGAUGAGAUUGCAGAAAUUCUUCUGUUUUCUUCUUCCUCCCUGGCUCUGUUACCAAGCAAUUCUGUCCACACUGUUCUCCAAGACAAAAUCUGAGCCAGACUGAGAUUUGUGUUGAUGGGCUUACUGAAGUCACCGGCGAUGUCACAAAAGGCCAAAAUUGAUUGUAUAGUUUCUUUUUCAAUCUUCACAAACUACUUGAAUGAUCCAGACAUAUUCCUGCAGAAAAUACAGGGGAGGAGAAUAAUGCAUGUGGCAGCCUUAGCUUGGGACAUCGAUGAACUGUUCAAAUCUUGAAGGUGACCUGACUCUGACCCUUUUAGCGACUAAAGCAUUUCUUUUACAUUUCUGUCUUCAUUCUCAGCUGGCUUUGGAAGAAUGGCUCAAAGAUAUGGGGAAAUGGUAAAGACAAAAUUCCCAACUAAAGCAAAGGAAUCCUGAAAAUCUUACUAUAGAAGCUGUAAUUUGGGCAAUUGUCUCCUGACUGCUUUUGCUAAUGGAGCACAUUAGCUCUGUCUUGGAAAAGGAGUCACAAUUCCAGGCCUUGAGCUGCUGAGCUUCUCUUC